GAUGGGCAUGCGUAACAAUUAGCUAGUUGGUAGGGUAACGGCCUACCAAGGCUACGAUGUUUAGGGGAACCUGAGAGGGUGAUCCCCCACACUGGUACUGAGACACGGACCAGACUCCUAACGGGAGGCAGCAGUGAGGAAUAUUGGUCAAUGGACGGAAGUCUGAACCAAGCCAUCCCGCGUGCAGGAAGAAGGCGCUAUGCGUUGUAAACUGCUUUUCCCGGGGGAAGAAAAUUCUGCACGUGUGCGGAACUGUCGGUACCCUGGGAAUAAAGCAUCGGCUAACUCCGUGCCAGCAGCCGCGGUAAUACGGAGGAUGCGAGCCGUUAUCCGGAUUUAUUGGGUUUAAAGGGUGCGUAGGCGGACCGAUAAGUCCAGUGGUGAAAACCUGCAGCUUAACUGUAGACGUGCCAUUGAUACUGUCGGGACUUGAGUGUGGUCAAGGUAGGCGGAAUGUGUAAUGUAGCGGUGAAAUGCCUUAGAUAUUACACAGAACACCGAUUGCGAAGGCAGCUUGCUGGACCAUUAACUGACGCUGAUGCACGAAAGCGUGGGGAGCGAACAGGAUUAGAU
This 573-nucleotide ribosomal RNA is filed under the name uncultured bacterium. RNAcentral describes it as "bacterial SSU rRNA". It matches the Rfam family "Bacterial small subunit ribosomal RNA", at positions 224 to 783 of the family's 1533-position model. The record is from RNAcentral.